Long non-coding RNA from Sapajus apella (tufted capuchin), 135 nucleotides. RefSeq lists it as uncharacterized. Lineage: Eukaryota; Metazoa; Chordata; Mammalia; Primates; Cebidae. The record is from RefSeq and is a predicted model, not a curated record. The transcript is spliced from 4 exons.
UAGGUGCAGUUCUGUCUCCAAAUGAUCAGACUUCUGCCACCAGGGUUCUUUUAAGACAGUACUACAUGUAAAAGGGAAUUUGGCUUUCACUUUAUUUAAUAUCUGAAUUGUCAGGUAUGAUUGGUAAUUGUGGGA